Molecule: long non-coding RNA, 306 nt
Organism: Lontra canadensis (Northern American river otter)
Lineage: Eukaryota; Metazoa; Chordata; Mammalia; Carnivora; Mustelidae
Exons: 3
Source: RefSeq, a predicted model, not a curated record
UCCAGCAGCUGGGAGGCCAGAUGACAGAGAGGCUAGAGUCGGUGGUCCUGGGCCUCCCUAAGACAGAGAGCAUCUCUGCAGCCACCCAGUGGGGGAAGGAGUGUGUGAGGGCGGAGGUCUUUGCCCAGAGCUCCUGCACAUACUGGUACAAUGGAGCAUAUGGGAGUUGGAGUCUGGAUACCUGCAAAACAUUCCAGCUCCAUUCUGUGUGACCUCAGUUCUUAGCAAUUAUCCACAGCACUGCAAGGAGGUUAAAUAUGUAAGUUGUUAUUUUAUUAUUACCUUAAGAUAAAUUUUUGAGAAUAA